Molecule: non-coding RNA, 48 nt
Filed under: Schistosoma margrebowiei
Lineage: Eukaryota; Metazoa; Platyhelminthes; Trematoda; Strigeidida; Schistosomatidae
Source: RNAcentral
ACCUAUCUGACGAGUCUCAAAUAAAACGAAAUGCGCAUCAAACUGGAU